AUUGAACGCUGGCGGCAUGCUUUACACAUGCAAGUCGAACGGUAACAGCACUUCGGUGGCUGACGAGUGGCGAACGGGUGAGUAAUACAUCGGAACGUGCCUAGUAGUGGGGGAUAACUACUCGAAAGAGUAGCUAAUACCGCAUGAGAUCUAAGGAUGAAAGCAGGGGACCUUCGGGCCUUGCGCUACUAGAGCGGCUGAUGGCAGAUUAGGUAGUUGGUGGGAUAAAAGCUUACCAAGCCGACGAUCUGUAGCUGGUCUGAGAGGACGACCAGCCACACUGGAACUGAGACACGGCCCAGACUCCUACGGGAGGCAGCAGUGGGGAAUUUUGGACAAUGGGCGCAAGCCUGAUCCAGCAAUGCCGCGUGCAGGAUGAAGGCCUUCGGGUUGUAAACUGCUUUUGUACGGAACGAAAAGCCCUCUUCUAAUACAGGAGGGUCAUGACGGUACCGAAAGAAUAAGCACCGGCUAACUACGUG
This 482-nucleotide ribosomal RNA is filed under the name uncultured bacterium. RNAcentral's name for it is "partial 16S ribosomal RNA". It matches the Rfam family "Bacterial small subunit ribosomal RNA", at positions 30 to 507 of the family's 1533-position model. The record is from RNAcentral.